CCUUGGCUCGCUACGCUAACGGGAAGUUACGUGAGGAGGACAUGGAGCACAGAGGGAAACCUGUCCCCUAAUCAGCUUUGGAACGCUACAAUUACCUGUGCCAGAGCCAGACCUGCAGGAGAUCCUGCAAGCAGAACACUGGCGGUGGUGAUCCAGAGCAUGGGGUCAUUGUAGCAGAGGUGCCAUGGCCCUUGUCAGCUGAAGGUCUGUCUUGCUGCAGCACAGCAAGUAAACCCCACCGUUGAUUCCUCUUCUUGUGGACGGGACAUCUAUAUGCAUGUCCUUCAACUGACCUCAUUUAUUGGAUGAAGUUUCUCAUUGACAUACUUGAUGCACAUCUCAUGUGCUGAUUCUAAAACAAGUAUGCACUUUUAACUAAUCACAAAUAAAGCACGGUAAAUAAA
This is a long non-coding RNA of Cyclopterus lumpus (lumpfish), 404 nucleotides long. RefSeq lists it as uncharacterized. NCBI's taxonomy places the organism in Eukaryota, Metazoa, Chordata, Actinopteri, Perciformes, Cyclopteridae. The transcript has 3 exons. The record is from RefSeq and is a predicted model, not a curated record.